GGAGCAUUAAGCCAUUCUGGUGAAUAUAUGGCAAAUGAAAUAAAGAAAGUUUUAAAAGAAAUAAAUCCUAACAAAGUUUUGGGCAUUGUGACUGACAAUGCUGCAAAGAUGAAAAAAUGCACGUACUAUCAGUACGGACUAGGUGGGGAUCAACUGUAGCAUGCUUAGAUAGCAUACAGAAAAAUAAGCAACCAUUAAAAACAUUGGCUAUUUCUGAAAACAGUGGACUUAAUUCAGCAACAAAAAAUAUUCUUUUAUCAGAUAUUUUUUGGGACAGGGUUGAAGGUUUUUUCAAAUUGCUGUCACCAAUAGCUGAUGCAAUAAAGAAAACUGAAUCAAAUACUCCCAUGUUAUCUAAUAUUGUAGAGACUUAUCACUUCUUGGAAGAUCACAUUUUUAAAAACUUAACAAAUAGCCCAUUUUUAAAAAAAGGAAGAAGCCAAAAAGAUCUUCAAGAAAAGAAAAGAAUUUUGUUUAACAGAAAUUCACUUGGCUGCCAAUAAACUAGAUCCCAAAUUUCAAGGCAUAGUCUUGACUGGAGAACAAAAGAUUGAUGCAUGUGAGGCAAUACCCAACAUUGCUGCAAGUAUACCUGAAGUAAACAAAGAAAUUAUGAUGUUUGACUUGGUAAUUACCAGUCAAAAGGUGGAAUAUUUUCAAAACCUUUUAUUUUGGACUGCAGUUGGAAUAACUCAACCCAUAAAUUGGUGGAAAGGGCUGUGUUCCUUUACUGAACUAUCAAAAGUUGCAUCUAGCUACCAGUUUCAAGUGCAGCAUGUGAGAGAAGUUUCAGCGCUUAUUCUAACAUUCAUAGUGCGAAAAGAAAUCGCUUAACGACUGAAAGAGCUGGAAACUAGUUUUCAUUUCACAAAAUUAAAAACUUGAAAAUAUUGAAAAUACCAGUUAAAAUGAAAAUGGUACAAGCAUAACUACUCCUCAAAUUAUUAACUUGAGUGUAAAUAAAGUUCCUAGCACUUCAAUGCCUUGGUCAGAGUCUGAAGCAGUUAAUAUAGAAAGUGACAGUGACUUUGUUUAUGAAUUCUAGUCUAGGGAAGAAAGACUUGAAAUCAGAAAGCACAUCCAUUUAGAAUAUAUUUUAUAGUUUAAAUACAUGUUUAAAUUGACUUUUUUGCUUAAAUAUUUAUACUUUUUUUUAAUUGUGUAUAUACUACACUACACAGUACUACACUACUUUGUACUAAAUUAAUAACCAAUUAAAACUAA
Molecule: non-coding RNA, 1224 nt
Organism: Hydra vulgaris (swiftwater hydra)
Lineage: Eukaryota; Metazoa; Cnidaria; Hydrozoa; Anthoathecata; Hydridae
Source: RefSeq, a predicted model, not a curated record